GAUGAAGAACGUAGCGAAAUGCGAUACGUAAUGUGAAUUGCAGAAUUCAGUGAAUCAUCGAAUCUUUGAACGCAUAUUGCGCUCUCUGGUAUUCCGGAGAGCAUGCUUGUUUGAGUAUCAGUAAACACCUCAACUCCCUUUUCUUUUUUGAAAUGGGAGCUGGACUUGAGUGAUCCCAACACUUUUCUCACUGGAAAGUGGCGGGUCACUUGAAAUGCAGGUGCAGCUGGACUUUUCUCUGAGCUAUAAGCAUAUCUAUUUAGUCUGCCUAAAAAACAGAUUAUUACCUUUGCUGCAGCUAACAUAAAGGAGAUGAGUUCUUGUGCGGACUGAUGCAGGAUUCACAGAGACAGCUUUGCGGCUGACUUUGUAAACUCGAUCUCAAAUCAAGUAAGACUACCCGCUGAACUUAAGCAUAUCAAUAAGCGGAGGA
Molecule: unclassified non-coding RNA, 433 nt
Filed under: soil metagenome
Description: partial contains 5.8S ribosomal RNA, internal transcribed spacer 2, and large subunit ribosomal RNA
Rfam family: 5.8S ribosomal RNA (bases 1-120)
Source: RNAcentral